GACGAACGCUGGCGGCGUGCUUAACACAUGCCAGUCGAACGGAAAGGCCCUGCUAUCGUGGGGUGCUCGAGUGGCGAACGGGUGAGUAACACGUGAGUAACCUGCCCUUGACUUUGGGAUAACUUCAGGAAACUGGGGCUAAUACCGUAUAGGAGCUCCUGCUGCAUGGUGGGGGUGGGAAAGUUUCGGCGGUCGGGGAUGGACGCGCGGCUUAUGAGCUUGUUGGUGGGGUAGUGGCUUACCAAGGGUGUGACGGGUAGCCGGCCUGAGAGGGUGAACGGGCACCAUGGGCCUGAGAGACGGAGCAGUGUGCAACAGGAGACAGCGGUGGCGAGUCUUGCCCAAUGAGCGGGAGCCUGAUGAAGAAGCGUUCGGGUCGGAAAGACGGCCUGUGGGUUGAGAACAGCUUUAGGCUGAGACGAAGCGGUAGUGACGGUACUGGGUGAAGAAGCACCGGCUAACUACGUG
Molecule: ribosomal RNA, 468 nt
Filed under: uncultured bacterium
Lineage: Bacteria
Description: partial 16S ribosomal RNA
Rfam family: Bacterial small subunit ribosomal RNA
Source: RNAcentral